This 2279-nucleotide unclassified non-coding RNA is filed under the name Hevea brasiliensis (rubber tree). Lineage: Eukaryota; Viridiplantae; Streptophyta; Magnoliopsida; Malpighiales; Euphorbiaceae. The record is from RNAcentral.
AAAAAAAAAAAAAAAAAAUUAAACGUAACAAUAUUUUCCUUUUAUGGAUGGAUAGCAGAUGUUUUAAAUUGUUCAAGUCUAGCAUUUGAUUGCAUAAAAACAUAAAAAAGGAAGAGAACAACAUAAUUCAAAGUUCUUGAAGAUAUUAUCACCUUUGCAUUUGUUGAACCACUAAUAAACCACAAAAGUUCUUCAACAACUCCUCUCCAAAACACUCUCUGUGUAUUCAGAAAAUGAUAGCCGUGACUAGCAUUUUAGAUAUUGCAGAUGAAAAAUAUUACAUAACUGCAUAAUAAACUAUGACGAGUAUUUGACAAUUGAAGACUAUCAAUAUUUUCCAAAAAACUAGUUAUUAUAAAACAAAUGGGAUAAACUUUAGAAGAGAACAGAUACCUUGGUUGUAAGGAGUGGAAAAGAUCUGCGCAGAUUGUAACGCAUCUGUAAGUGUAGCAAGUAUCAAUAAUUAAGUGCAGGACAAAAAUGUCUUUCAAUGAGGCAGAAGAAAUAGAGACAACAAUGUGAAAAAGAAAUGAGCAGAAACAUUUAUAGAAAGUCCAAGUUUGGUAUUACCUGACACCCAAAUUUUGAUAGGGUACCAGUCCCUGUCCUGUCAUCUUUCAGGAUUCCACUUGAAAUAAUUUCUUCAACCAGUCUUAGAUACAUAUACUCAUCAUGUUUCUCAAAAAUAAGCUUUGGAAGAAAGGAAAAAUUCUUUGUCUCAAACUUGGUGGAAUUUAGAUUACCAUUAUACUUUGCUGUGGUGCUUUUAAAAGGAGUUCCAUUUUCUGAAUUCUUUACACGAACAUAAGUCACAAAAGAAUAUCGAAUAUUGUUUUCCACUAAUGGUAGAGAUGAAUACCAAAGGUGAAAUAAAGAAGAAUCAAUAGCUGGAAUGAAGGUGUCACAUUCAAUGCUUGUCUCAAUUUCAGUAAUGUGGAUGGCAUCACAUCCUGGUGCGUUAAUUGUUUCCCUCAAUAUCUGACCACCUCCUAUGACAAACACCCUCUCAAUUGAGAAAGAGUAAGGUGCUUCUGCCAGUAAUUCCAGAGCUGAUGGAAUGCUUCCACAUAUUACAACAUUUUUUGCAGCUGUGAUGUCAAAACUUCCAGAACGAGUCAGGACAACAUUCAAGCGUCCCGGUAGGGGUCUGUACCUGAGAGGAAUGCUCUCCCAUGUUUUCCUACCCAUUAUUACCGCAUUCUUUUUCCCAGGAUUUGACGUGCUCAAUGUAAGCUCCUUGAAAAAUUUAAGGUCAGAUGGUAAGCUCCAUGGUAACUUCCCAUCCUUCCCAAUGCCCAUAUCAUGAGUCGCAGCAACCACAACUUCGUAACUCCUAGGAUCACGGUGUGUAGUGGCAUUGCCACUAGGAAAGCUCCUUGGAACAUCACCAGACAUAACAGAAAAUCUUUUGCAAGUCCUGUACUUCGAAGUUAUAUAAGAUGCUCUAUGUAGUUCGGGGGCUGCGGACACAAGACGAUCAUUGCAGAAGCUAUUUUUACAAGAACCCAGUAAAACCUUUGAAAAGAGCAUACUCUUCUGAGUGCAAUGCUGUAUCAACAUCUGCAUAUCUGCUGAAGGUUAGCCAGAUCCACCCAUCUGUCUCCAACAGGUUAGAAAAAAAAAAAUUCCUCUUCAUAAAAGAAACACACAAGAAAAUAAGAAAAGGGGCAACAGAAGUAAAAGAACACUUCCAAUUUGUUCAGUAUUAGAGAGAUUUUCCACAAUCAAAGAAGAUAAUAAAAUCAUCACAUGUAAUUGGUGAGUAGCGAAUGUCUUACAAGCAAGCGUACAUCACUCUGUGAAGACUGAAGAGUCAUUUGCAUUGAAAUACAUUGUAUACCCAGUUGGGUAUUUACAAAAGAAAAUAAAAUUAUAAUUGGGAAAAAAAAUCAGUAUUUCGUUUCUACAAAACCAAGUAAAAGUUAGAAUUAAAUGAAGUCGCAUAACUCACCUCAGUUAACUCCAUAAGGAUUGCGCCUGCACCCACAAAGAAAAGGGAGAGUGGUUAUUGUUUCCAAACGCCAGAGUGAGACGAGUGCUUACGCAAUUUUCCGACGACGAAAUUGGGAAGAACCGAAGAAGCUUUCAUUGAUGGGAAGAAAGGUGCACAGAGACCAGAGGAGACAACUGAAGGGAAGUAAAACUGAGAAGAAAAUCUUUAAUUUGGUUUGAUAACCAAAAAUGGUUGGAUUUUGAUUCAAUUCUCGUUAGGGAUCUUUUCAUUUCCAAAUCAAUUCACGUUUAUAUGUGAUCUUCUUUUUUUUAAUUUAUUGUAAAAG